GCCACCACCUGGCUCUCGAUGCCUUCCAGCCUUGUGCCGAACCGCUUGAACGCCUCCAGCGCCUUGGCAUCCGAGGUCCACUCCGGCGUGUCACGCUGCCCGAGAUAAAUCUCGUCGGAGGAGUGCUUGGACAGGAUCUCCAGCAGGGAAAUGCCAAUGAUGGACUGCACCUGGUUGGUAAUGGUGUGGAUGAACACCUUUUCUGGGUCGCGGGCCAGCAAGGCGUACUCCUCGGUGUCCGGCUCCGGCAUCGGACGACGGCUCGCUGACGGCUUGUUGGGGUGGUAACCUGCGUAGGGGUACUGCCCGAAGUUUACGGCGGCGUGCAGCGCGGACCCGGUCCAGAUGAUGGUGGCGCAGGCCUUGACCAGCUCCGCCACCGUCAUCAUCUUGGGCCACCAUGCCGCGUCCUUGAGAUCGCCGUGGCCGACCUCGCGUACCUCCUUCCACCACGCCUGCAGCUCCACGUCGCUCUGAAGCACACUGUCGCUGGUGUAG
RNAcentral lists this ribosomal RNA (498 nucleotides) under Triticum aestivum (bread wheat). RNAcentral's name for it is "partial small subunit ribosomal RNA". The record is from RNAcentral. Lineage: Eukaryota; Viridiplantae; Streptophyta; Magnoliopsida; Poales; Poaceae.